ACAAAAACAAUAAUAAGCAUCAGCAGAACUAUCGUUUCGACUCAAGGCACAACAAAAACAAGAGUACCCACGAGUCGCAAACAGAUUUUUUUGGAAAGGGUAUGUGAUUCGGGUUUUCCCGCAACCAGGCCGAAAAGAAUAAAACUACCUUGAGGUAGCUCGGUGUGCCGGUUGGAUCAUUGCAGGGGUUUUGGCAAUGGCGAUUGCUGUAUCAGUAACCAAAAAAAUACGUUUGCCCUUGGUUCCACUUGGAAUCACUGAAAGCGAUGACGCAACAGACAGCGAUAAAACAACAAUAACAGUCGCCAAAUAAUAAGAAUAAAGCACACACCCAAUUAGAGGGGAGCCUAGGCUCCCCUUUGUGCUUUCUGCGGUUUCGUUUUCCUUCCCCU
Non-coding RNA from Pseudomonadales bacterium, 392 nucleotides. Lineage: Bacteria; Pseudomonadati; Pseudomonadota; Gammaproteobacteria; Pseudomonadales. The record is from Rfam.